Molecule: ribosomal RNA, 513 nt
Filed under: uncultured bacterium
Lineage: Bacteria
Description: partial 16S ribosomal RNA
Rfam family: Bacterial small subunit ribosomal RNA
Source: RNAcentral
GAUGAACGCUGGCGGCGUGCCUAAUACAUGCAAGUCGAACGCGCAGCGAAAGGUGCUUGCACCUUUCAAGCGAGUGGCGAACGGGUGAGUAACACGUGGAUAACCUGCCUCAAGGCUGGGGAUAACAUUUGGAAACAGAUGUUAAUACCGAAUAAAACUUAGUAUCGCAUGAUACAAAGUUAAAAGGCGCUACGGCGUCACCUAGAGAUGGAUCCGCGGUGCAUUAGUUAGUUGGUGGGGUAAAGGCUUACCAAGACGAUGAUGCAUAGCCGAGUUGAGAGACUGAUCGGCCACAUUGGGACUGAGACACGGCCCAAACUCCUACGGGAGGCUGCAGUAGGGCAUCUUCCACAAUGGGCGCAAGCCUGAUGGAGCAACGCCGCGUGUGUGAUGAAGGCUUUCGGGUCGUAAAGCACUGUUGUAUGGGAAGAAAUGCUAAAAUAGGGAAUGAUUUUAGUUUGACGGUACCAUACCAGAAAGGGACGGCUAAAUACGUGCCAGCAGCCGCAGUAA